Molecule: ribosomal RNA, 1009 nt
Filed under: uncultured bacterium
Lineage: Bacteria
Description: bacterial SSU rRNA
Rfam family: Bacterial small subunit ribosomal RNA
Source: RNAcentral
AGAGUUUGAUCAUGGCUCAGAACGAACGCUGGCGGCAGGCCUCAAACAUGCAAGUCUAGGGGGUGUAGCAAUACAUCACCGGCGGACGGGUGCGUAACGCGUGGGAAUAUACCUAUUGGUUCGGAACAACUGAGGGAAACUUCAGCUAAUACCGGAUAAGCCCUUACGGGGAAAGAUUUCUCGCCAAUAGAUUAGCCCGCGUCCGAUUAGCUAGUUGGUGGGGUAAAAGCCUACCAAGGCAACGAUCGGUAGCUGUUCUGAGAGGAAGAUCAGCCACACUGGGACUGAGACACGGCCCAGACUCCUACGGGAGGCAGCAGUUGGGAAUCUUGGACAAUGGGGGAAACCCUGAUCCAGCCAUGCCGCGUGAGUGAUGAAGGCCUUCGGGUUGUAAAACUCUUUCGACGGGGACGAUAAUGACGGUACCCGUAGAAGAAGCUCCGGCUAACUUCGUGCCAGCAGCCGCGGUAAUACGAAGGGGGCUAGCGUUGUUCGGAAUUACUGGGCGUAAAGCGCGCGCAGGCGGUCUUCCAAGUCAGUGGUGAAAGCCCGGAGCUCAACUCCGGAAUUGCCAUUGAAACUGUGAGACUGGAGUACGAGAGAGGUGAGUGGAAUUCCCAGUGUAGAGGUGAAAUUCGUAGAUAUUGGGAAGAACACCGGUGGCGAAGGCGGCUCACUGGCUCGUAACUGACGCUCAGGCGCGACAGCGUGGGGAUCAAACAGGAUUAGAUACCCUGGUAGUCCACGCCGUAAACGAUGAUUGCUAGCCGUUGGGCAGCUUGCUGUUCAGUGGCGCAGCUAACGCAUUAAGCAAUCCGCCUGGGGAGUACGGCCGCAAGGUUGAAACUCAAAGGAAUUGACGGGGGCCCGCACAAGCGGUGGAGCAUGUGGUUUAAUUCGACGCAACGCGCAGAACCUUACCAGGGUUUGACAUCCUGAGACCGCCUCUUAAUAGGGGUUUUCCCGCAAGGGACUCAGAGACAGGUGCUGCAUGGCUGGUCGUCAGCUC